Molecule: long non-coding RNA, 143 nt
Organism: Pollicipes pollicipes
Lineage: Eukaryota; Metazoa; Arthropoda; Thecostraca; Pollicipedomorpha; Pollicipedidae
Exons: 3
Source: RefSeq, a predicted model, not a curated record
ACGAGGACAAGCUGGUCACCCAGCCGCUGCAGGAGAAGCCCUGCCAGAUCCCGGCCAGCGCCAAGUCCACCUUCCUGAUGGCGUUUAGUGGUGACGGCAGCCGGAUCGCCUCCACGCACGGUGACCACAACAUAUACGUGACG